RNAcentral lists this ribosomal RNA (460 nucleotides) under uncultured bacterium. RNAcentral's name for it is "partial 16S ribosomal RNA". It matches the Rfam family "Bacterial small subunit ribosomal RNA", at positions 338 to 795 of the family's 1533-position model. The record is from RNAcentral.
CCUACGGGAGGCAGCAGUGAGGAAUAUUGGUCAAUGGACGAGAGUCUGAACCAGCCAAGUAGCGUGAAGGAUGACUGCCCUCUGGGUUGUAAACUUCUUUUAUAUGGGAAUAAAACGUUCCACGUGUGGGAUUUUGUAUGUACCAUAUGAAUAAGGAUCGGCUAACUCCGUGCCAGCAGCCGCGGUAAUACGGAGGAUCCGCGCGUUAUCCGGAUUUAUUGGGUUUAAAGGGAGCGUAGGUGGAUUGUUAAGUCAGUUGUGAAAGUUUGCGGCUCAACCGUAAAAUUGCAGUUGAAACUGGCAGUCUUGAGUACAGUAGAGGUGGGCGGAAUUCGUGGUGUAGCGGUGAAAUGCUUAGAUAUCACGAAGAACUCCGAUUGCGAAGGCAGUUCACUGGACUGCAACUGACACUGAGGCUCGAAAGUGUGGGUAUCAAACAGGAUUAGAUACCCCAGUAGUC